GAGAUUGCAAAGAGAAUCAAAGAGAUGAUGAGCAAUGAGUCUUUGAGGGUCAAAGCUGGAGAAAUGAAGGAGGCAGCCAAGAAGGCUUGUGGUGUUGGUGGGAGUUGUGAGGUUAUCAUUAAGAGACUAAUGGAGGAGUGGAAGAGGAAUGCUCAAGUCACAUGAGCAUUAGGGUUUAUGGUUUAGCACUCAAUACUAUUUUGCCUAUUCACAAUAUUAUGUUUAAGUGAAUUUGAAUUUAUGUAAGAAAAGAAUAUUAAUUUAGUGUUCGUUAUGGAUGUUUUGUGUUGCUCUCGUCGAAAUAAGGUCUGAUGAAUUUUGAGAUGGUUAUCAGAUCAUAUCCUUGUAAGUUUUAUGGAGCGGCUCAAAGGAAAAUAAAGGUUCCACUUGCAGAAGAUUAUCCGAUACUCAAGUCAAUGAGAACAUAAAUAUAGUAUAUAAAGUAAGUAUAGUGUAAAAUAUGAGUUGAAUUUACUUCCUCAAUGUAGUGGUCUAUUUAUAAGUUUUCAUGGGCUUGAACAAAUGAUAUUGGUUUUCAAUGGCCUUCAUGAGGCAUAAUUAAUUUUAAUCAUUGCAUAACAAAAUUCAAGUAUAAUGUAAUAAAAUCAGAGUAUUAUGUGAUAAAAUCUAAAUAUAAAGGAAUUAUAUAAUGACACCUGAAUAUUUUAUUAUUAAAGUGAAAAAAACUAUAUAAAUAGAAAAUUAGUUAUUCAGGUUUCAUUUUAAAAGAACCACCAUCUGUCUAGAAAUUUCUUUUUCCUUUCCUCUCCCUUCUCUCUAAGAUUCUGACCUCCUCGCUUAUCAGUUUGAUUAUCAGAGUCUGUCAUUGGACUCCUAGCAGUGAACUCUACUAGAUUGCCCGAUCAGAAUCUUAGAUAGAGUAAGUUCAUUCUUGGCUCAUUUUUCUUUGAGUUAGUUUUGAUUUGGUUAGGGUUGUCUUUUAGUUAAGUUUGCAUGUUAGGUUUUUAUCUUCAUAAUUAGUCUUUGUUAGAUCAUGGUCCUAGUGAUAUAGUUAGAUUUGUGAUCAAGACUUUGUGGUGCAGGUUAGGUUAUCCUUAAGCUUUUGGUGGGUUGGAGCUCUUAGUGAGCAUAUGCUCAAGUACAGGUAAGGGAAGCUAGUUUUAUUUUUAAAAUAGAACCCUAGGUUAGAAGAUCUGGAUGUGGGGUGACGUGGUCAUCAAUUCCAAUUUUUGCUUGCAGAAUUGUCUCUUUUGAAAAGUAAAGUAAUAUAUUGACUGGAAUGGUUGAUUUUGAAUCUUUUAUAUUGAUUUUAAGGUGAAUAAUUUGUUGAAAGUGUUUGUGAUUGAGAAGUGAAAUUGUUUGAAUGAUGAUAUAAAUGAGUUGAAUUGUUUUUUAAUAUUUACUUAAAUGAGAUGUUUGAUUUAGAGAGCAUAUAUUUGGAACUUAGUUAUGUGUUUAAUUGAAUUUUGAGAUAUAUUUGGAUUGUUUAGAAAGUUUAAAAUAUUUUGUGAUUAAAUGAUGCAUUGAUGUGUUAAAUUAUGUAUGUAAUGAGGUGAAAGUGUGGUCAAGACAUAGUAUUUUCAGGAAAGGAAAUACCGUGUUGAGAUUGUUAUUAGGGUGUAUUGAUUUGUAAGUGUCUUGUGAAUGAGACGAUCCUAACUCUACUGAUAUAAUGGAAUCACAUAGAUGAAGCUAUUCAGUUGGUGAGAGUCGAAGGAAGUUCAUUUGGCUGAGUCUGAGGUUUGAAAGAACUGAUCAGAGAAGAUCAAAUGGAUUUACCCUGUCAUAUGAGACGAUGAGAUAUUGAGAUUGAUUAUGCGCAUGACUGUGUGGAUUCAGUGAGUAGUAUGACAGGUGCAGGUCUCUGGAUGCUAAUUUCAAUACACGAGUCUUCUGGAAGUAUAGUCAAGUGUCUAUGUUUUGUGAGUCAGUAGAAGUCUAACAUGUGAAAGAUGAUUUAUUAAUUUUGAUAGACACUUGAUGGUUAUGUGAAAUGUUUAAGAAAUUGUAUGAGAGUUUAUAAAUUUUGUGUAUGAAUUUGAAAUUAAAUUAUAUAGAAAAAUUUGUUAUAGCUAGCUUACUCUGUUAUUUGUUUGUGUUUGUUUCUUUAUCUGUGAUGAUCGUGUUGUACACGGGAGCAGAUGAGAUUGCGGGUAAUAGAGCUCCUAAGUGAGCAGUUGGAGGAUGUGAUAGUUUUAAUUUGAAUGUUCUAUUUGUUUUUUUUUUAACUUUUGAUGUAUAUAUUAAAAUCCCUAUGAAGAGGGAUAUUUUUUUUUAGAUAUGAGAUAGUUAUAUAUAUGCAUAUCUUAAGGAGAUAACAUUUGUUUUACUUUUAUUUUAUUAUAUAUGGGGUAAAAGUUAGGGAUGUUACAAAGACACUUAUGUUUGACUAAAGCUUAUAAAAAUUAUGUUUUACAUUUUGUCUGGACACGGAAUUAAAACCAAAAAAAAAAAAAUCUAUUGAACUUUGAUCUAACAUGAAAUUUUAUGAUUUAAUUUCUAUAAUUUAAUUCAUUUUUAAAAGUUAUUUGUGUUUUAUCCAAAAAAAUAUUGAACAUAACAAACAAACCAAUUAGUUUUAACAAGCAAUAUAAUAAAGUAUAAGGAAAAUAACAAUUAAUAAAUUAAAAUUUCUAAAGAAAAGUAUAAAAAAAAACUAUUGAUUAUAAAAAAUAUUAAUUACAAAAAAAUUAUUCAAAAAAAAACUUCUAAUUCUAUCCUAAAUGUAAGAGAUAACAAAGAGUAAAAGAAAAUAUAAAAAAUUAGAUGAGAUAAGAUUGCAUUGAAUGCAUAUAAUUAUGACUUAUAAAAUUUUUAUAAAAUUAUUAAAUAAAAAUCAAUUUUAGAGAUAAAAUAUAUUUAGUUGUUAUACUGACUAAAUUAAAUAUUAUUAUUAUAAAAAUUAUUAGUCUUUAAAUUAAUUUCUAUUAGUGAUAAAUAAUUUUUAAAUUAAUAUAUAAUUAGAUACCAAAAUUUUAGAUGUUAACUUUAGAGUUUAAAUAAUUGGUAGUUAAAAUCUGGGUAACUAAUUAGAUAUCAAUUUAGAAAUUAUUUAUAAAAAGAAUAUAAACUAAUUCGAAACGGAUGAGAAAAAAAAAUGAAUGAGAGGUAAGAUAUGUAAGACAAACAAAUUUGGACCAAGGAAUUGUAGGAAGUUUUAAUCUUCUAAAAUCAUUUUUAACCUUGAUUCUAGUGUGUCAUUCUAAUUAGUUAAGUAAAAGGAGAGUGAUGCUAAAUUUUUUAUAUUAAUUUUAAUAAAUUUAUGUGUUUUAUUAGCCUUUUGUUUAUUUUCAAACUAUACCUUGUUUUACUUUCUUUAUUUUUUUAUACUCCUAUUAUUUACUUUUAUCUCAAGUUAUGCAUUUACUCUCUUUAUUUAUUUAUAAUUAUAUCAUUUAAUUUAUCUCUAGUUACAUACUAAUCUAUUUAUUAAUUUAUAGUCAUGUCAGUUAGUUUAUUACUAGAUAUUUCAUUUAGUUUAUUACUAGAUACACGCUAAUACUUUUUACUAGAUUUAUAAUUAUAUAUUAUGUUAUUUGAUUUAUAUCCAGUUACACUAGUCUAUUUUAUUAUAUUUAUAUUUGUAUCUUUUAGUUUAUCUCUCACUAGUCCUCUUUGUUAAAAUUAUGUCUAUAUAAUUUUAUUUAUCUUUAGUUUUACAGUGGUUUUUUUAUUUAAAUUUCUUGCUUUCAUUCUUAUUUCAAAUACUGGUUAUUUUUAAAAAUUCAAUCUAGAUCCAAUAAAAUGGAUUGGAUUAAAAUUCAAAUCCAUUUUAACAAGAUGAAAGUUAUUUGGAUUUUUUCAAAUCUAUUUAAAAAAGGUUAAAUCUAGAUUAAAUUCACUUUGUCUAUUAGAUUAAAUCCAUCUCGAUCUGAACAUAGACUGACUUAUCUUGACAUAGGCUCAAGCCGACUCGACUAGACCUAGACUUAGAUCAACUAGACUAGCCCUGAGUCAAGGCUGACUUGACUAGAUUUGAACUCUGACCGACUUGACUUGAUAUGGCCCAAGACGACUCGACUUCACCUGAGCUAGGAUCGACUCCACUCGACCUUUCACUCUGCAAAAAGAAAAAUUUGCAAAUUAAGAUAAAAACUAAAAAAAAAAAAACAAAUUUCAACUUCAAACAUAUCACAAUUUGACCAUAAACUAGUUGGUGGUAGGUCCAUAAACAAUUAAAAUAUUAACACUUUUUUGGAGAGUUUGGUGGUAGGUAAUAGAAAUAAAUCCUCUGUGUUGAUUAUGCGGAAGAACUCCUUGAAUGAUGAAAAGAACCUGUGAUGAGAAUGAUGCAGAGAUGAGAUGAAGGGAAGAUAAACCCUAAAAGGGUUGAAAGGUUCUGACCAGAGAAAAAAGCAAAAAAGUGAAUCGUAUUAUCAAAUUGAAUUAAGGGAGAGAAUACUGAAUUACAAAAAGGUACAAUCUGUAAAGUAAAAACCCACUAAAUCUAAGAUACAUGGUGACAGAAAUAAAAGAAGGCCCAAGGCUCCAAAGCCUAAACAACCCAAAAUAAUAAAAAAAUAUGCUAACUAACACCCCCCCCCCCUCAAGCUGGGAAUAGAUAUUUUGCAUUCCCAGCUUGGACUUGAGAGUAGUAAAGGUGGAAGCAACCAGUGGUUUAGUGAGGAUGUCAGCAGUUUGCAUGGAGGAAGUGAUUGGAAGCAGCUUGAGAAGACCAACAUUAAUUUUCUCUCGGACAAUAUGACAGUCAAUCUCUAUGUGCUUCGUUCGCUCAUGAAAAACCUGAUUUGAGGCAAUAUGAAUUGCUGACUGAUUGUCACAGAAUAGAAUUGCAGGUUCAAUGUAGGGGAUACCAAGAUCCUUAAGAAUGUAAGUCAGCCACUGAAUUUCACAAGUGGUUGCUGCAAGAGCUCUAUACUCGGCUUCUGAAGAACUUCUUGAGAUAGUAGGUUGUUUCUUGGACUUCCAUGAUAUAAGAGACUCACCCAAGAAAAUGGCAAAGCCAGUAACAAAUUUUCUGGUUUCAAAACAUGAGGCCCAAUCAGAAUCACUAUAGCCUCGAAGCUGGUUGUUACUGUUCUUGUGGAGAAAAAUUACCGAGCCAGGAUUACCCUUAAGGUACCUUAGGAUGCGAAAAACAGCUUGUUGAUGGUGCUUUGUAGGAGAAGAGACGAACUGACUUAAGUUGUUGACACUGAAGACUAUGUCAGGCCGCGUGUUGGUGAGAUAGAUCAGUCGUCCAAUAAGUCGGCGGUAGGUAGAUGAUUCUUUUUCAUUGAUUUGGACGUUGUCCGUGGAAGAAAGGCGAGAGGAAUGAGACAUGGGUGUAGGCAUGAGGGCACAAUCCAACAUUCCCGUUUCAUGAAGAAGAUCUAGAGUGUACUUUCUUUAACUGAUAUGUAAACCAGAUUUGUUGCGAGCCACUUCUAGUCCCAAGAAAUAUGCGAGGUCCCCUAAAUUUUUAAUUAUGAAUUGUUGAUCCAACAACUUAGUGAUAUGAGUGAUUUCCUCAUCAUCGUUUCCAGCAAGUACAAUAUCAUCCACAUACACAAGAAGAGCAGUGAGUUUAGUAUGAGUGUGUUUUAAAAAUAAUAAAUGAUCAGCAGAUGACAAUGUGUAAUUAUGUGAAAGCAAGAAAUUAGAUAAUUUGGCAUAUCAUUGUCGGCUAGCUUGACGAAGACCAUAAAGAGAUCUUUGGAGUUUGCAAACGUGGUUUGAUGAGGGGAGAGUGAGACCGGGUGGUGGCUGCAUAUACACUUUCUCAAGGAGAUCUCCAUGUAAAAAUGCAUUAUUGACAUUGAGUUGUUUGAGAAUCCAAUCAUUGGAAGCAACAACAGCAAGUAGUAGAUGCAAUGUUGUCAAUUUUGCAACAAGGGCAAAAGUAUCUAUGAAGUCAAGGCCUUCUAAUUGUGUGUACCCUUUGGCAACUAAGAGUGCCUUGUAUCGGUCAAUAGACCCGUCGGAUUUGUGCUUUAUCUUGUAAACACAACGACAGCCAAUAGUCGUCUUCCCAAGCGGAAGUGUGGUAAUCUGUCAAGUGUGAUUGGCAUCAAGUGCAGUCAACUCCUCUUGCAUAGCUUGUUUCCAGCAGGCAUGUUUCGAAGCUUCCCUGUAAGUGUGAGGCUCUGAAUGGGAAGAGAUAGAAAGAAUAGUGCAUUUAAAAGCAGGAGAUAAAGAUUUAUAAGAAACAAAAUUAUUAAUGGGAUAUUUAGUACUUACACUGUUUGUGGUUGUCAAAUCAGUUUGAAAAUCUGCAAGGUAUGCUGGUGCCUUUCUUUGUCUAUUUGAUCUCCUCAGUGGUAUUUUCAGAUCAUCAAUUUGUGUAUCAUCCAGGGUCUCUUCAUUUUGGUUAGGAUCCAUGUCCACAUCAAUUUGUGCAGUACCCAUAGUUUCAUGAGGAUGACAGUCAUUUUGAAAAGUAAUAUCACUACUUGAAUCAUAAUUGUGAGGAAUAGGCAAAGAAAGGUUGUUGGAAUUCAUACAGGAAUCUUUGUUCAAAUGAUAUGGAAAAUGGUUUUCAUAAAAGAUAAUAUUCCUUGAUACCUCAAUACUAUGAUUUUUAAGAUUUAGAAAAAUAUAUCCCUUUGUGUUGGAAGACAAACCGAGAAAGAUACCAUGCACAGAACGAUCAUCAAGUUUCUUUCUAUGUGCAGUGAGCGUGCUAGAGUAACACAAACAUCCAAAUACGCGUAAAGAAGAAAGAUCAUAUUGAUGAGAAUCAAAUAAAGGAGGCUUUUAUUAAAGAAGGAAGAGGUCAUUCACCUGCACAUUUGAAGUUUUUCCUUCUAGUCUUCUCAAAAUUAAAAGAAGACAUAAAAUAAAUAAAAGAAAUACAUAAAAUAAAGAUGAGGCCCAAGCCCAAGCCCAAGAAGGCCAAAGCCCAAAAAGCCCAAGUCCAUCCCAUGAGGGGCAAGGCCAAGCAUUAAAUAAAAGAGCAUCAUUUGAUUUACUCUUGUAGGAGGUGUGGAUAUUAAAUAAAGGAGUGUGAAUAUGUAAAAGAAAGUCACAUUGUCCAUGUGACUUAAGAGAAUAGGUGUAGGUGUAGUUUUUAGGAGGUGUCAUAGUAGAAAAAGGUCACACCUUCCAUGUGACUUGUUUUUUGUGGGAAUUUCAAAUGAGUUUCAUUUGAAUUUUCUCACCUAUUUUUCAACACCCUCACACUAUAAAUAGAGGUGUGGGCUCUUGUAAAAUUCAGAUUGGAAAUUGGCUAUAGAGAAACUCUACUCAAAUUGAGAGAGAAUUGUGUGAGAACUUUGUCUUCUCCUCUACCUUGUCUUAUCUUGAGUGCCUUGGUUCUCUCAAGUGGCGGCAUUUGCUCACUUAUCUUGGAGCCUUCACACUUCAAGUGGCGUGACCAUUAACCAAGCUCUCCAUCCUCAUAAGUUCUUCUCUCCUUCAUCUUUUCAUUUCAUUUCCAAGUUCAUCCGAUUUCAAAAACAUGUUUAGGUUCUUUCUAUUCGGUGUUUUAAGCUUAAAUUCUUGUACUGUUCGGUUCUUAUACUUUUUUGCUGGAUUCAAUUGUUUCUUCUUCAUUUCUUCUUAAUUUGUUUGGUGCAUUUAAGUUCUUAAGCUUUUUAAUCGGUGCAUUUGCUUUCUUGUUCAAUUUAGUCGGUUCAAUUGGCAAGAAAUGGGUCUUCCAUGUGAGUUUGGUGUUUGGUGCAAGUUUUGGUGAGUUCUUGAAACAUAGAACAUUGAUCCAAUUCUAUUAAAAGUGCCUAUUCAUUCUCCAACUCAAGUUGAUUCCAUAAAAUAUCAAAGAAUCAUUUACAUCUUGCUAGUGGAAUCAUAUCACAUAUGGUCUACCAUUCAAUUUUUCAUAGGGUGCAAUGUUGUGUAACAAAGGAGUGGGAGUGCAAUUGAUUAAAAAAAUAGCAUGUUGUACAACAAAAUUCCAGAAUAAAUGAGGUAAAUUUGCUUGAAAAAACAAGGCACGGGUAACAUUUAAAAUGUGUUGAUGUUUUCUUUCAACAAUACCAUUUUGUUCAGGUGUUUCUACACAUGUGGUUUGAUGAACAAUGCCUUUAGAAGAAAAUAAUUUUUUCAUGGCAAAUUCAGCACCAUUGUCAGUGCGAAUAGUUUUAACCGUAGUUUUAAACUGAUUUUCAACGUAAGCAAUGAAAUUAACAAUAUGAUUUCUAACUUCAGAUUUUGUGUGUAAAGAAAUAACCCAAGUAAAACGUGAAAAAUCAUCCACAAUGGUUAAAAAAUAUCUAAAACCGUGCAUUGAAAUGACAGAACAAGGACCCCAAAUGUCCAUAUGCAGUAAUUCAAAGAUGCUAGCAGUAUGAGAUUUACUUAAAGUAAAAUGGAGUUUCUUUUGUUUGGCACGAUGACAUACAUCACAUACAUGCGGUUUUAUAGUGCCACAGAUUAAUGUCUUUGACAGUAUAAUUGAAAGAAUGAGCAAUAGUGUGUGUAGCAGUAUUACGAAAAAAAGAAGAUUCAAAAGCAUACAAGCCAGCUUUGACACUAACUAUACCAAUCCUCUCUUUGGUUGUAUUGUCCUGUAUCAUAUAACUAUUGGAGGAGAAAAUUAAACUGCAGUUCAUAUUUAAAGAAAUUUUAGAAGUAGAUACAAGAUUAAAGGAAAGUCGAGGAACAUAUAAGACAUCAAUGAGGUAAAAUUUGUGAUUAAAAAUCACAGUUCCAGAAUAUUUUGCAAACACAUGAUGGCCAUUAGGUAGACUAAUAGAAAUAGGUUUAAUGCUUUUGUACGAAGUAAACUCAGAUAAAGAAGAACACACAUGAUCAGUUGCUCCUGAAUCUAGAAUCCAAUAAUUUCUACCAUGUUGUAAAUUAUUUAAGGUAAGAAUAUUACCAGUUGAAGACCUCUCUGCCAUUUUAUGAUUGGUGUCUGCAGUGAACGAGCCCACCUGAUUUACUUGAAUAUUGGUUGCAGUGUUAUUGUUGGUGCUUUGUCUAAACAAAUCUGACAAAACUUGAUAUUGUUGUGUUGUGAGGUGAUAUUCUCCUUUUUCUUGUUCUUUUUGGCAAGGCUCAGAAAGCACAUCAUCAGAUAUAACAAUAUUAUUAACCUGAUUGGUUUUACUACCAUAAAACUUGUAUCCAGGAGGAUACCCGUGUUUCUUGUAGCAAGUUUCUAUGGUGUGACCAUUUCUUCCACAGUGAGUACAUAUUUUCUUAUUCCCAUUAUUUUUGAAGGACUUAUUUUCUUGAUUAGGAAACCCAACCUUCCGAAAACAAACGUUCUCUGUAUGGCCAUUUUUACCACAAAAGGUGCAUAUCACAGAAGAAGAGAUGUGAUUAGAAUUAGCACUAUUAAUAUUUGAGACAGAAAGUUGUUGGCAGUUGACGUUCUUGUUGCACCACAAGAGAAAAAAAAAUUGUUAUAGGAGGUAUAGGCUCCAUAAGAAGUACAUGAGAUUUUAUGUUAUGAUAUUGUUCAUUUAACCCCCUUAGAAACUGCAUGGCCUGGUCUUCACAUUUUCUUUGAUUGAUAAGAGAAGUAAAAGCAAUAGAGCAAGAACAUUUUGUCUCACAAAUGCAUACAAGAUUAGGUCUAAAGUUUUCUAGUUCAUCCCAAAUUAUUCUCAGCUUAGUGAAAUAGUCAGUUACAGUCAAUUCACCUUGAUGUAAAAAAGCAACUCCCAUUUGUAAAUAUGAAAUUCUAGAUAAAUCCCCCUGAGAAAAUCUACUUUUCAAAUCAUUCCAUAUAUCUAAAGUUAUACCCAUCCAUACGAUGCUUUGUCUAAUGGGAAUAGAGACAGAAUGGACUAACCACGAGACGACCAUAUUGUUGCAUCUGUACCAAGCCGAGUAAGUGGGAUGGUUCUUGAGCGGACAUGGGCAUGUGCCAAGGACAAACUCCACCUCAUUUUUUGCGCUCAACGCCGUUAUAAUCGACAUACUCCAAGAGUGAUAGUUUGUAGAGUCCAACGCUGGCGAGACCAAAGGGACAACAGGGUUCUCACUGGGAUGGAGAUAAAGGCAGUUGUUCAUCAAGUUCAAUUGUUCCACCAAUUGAUUUGUUGCAUUCGGCUGAGACAAUUGCACCGUGGUUCCUUCAGUUCCAGCGGUUUCAGCCAUAUCUGAAAGAGAAACAAAAAAUUCAAGAUUUGGAACAAGAAAUCGUGAAGAACGAAAUUCAUAGAAGAAGACGAAAUUCAGAGUGCACAGCAGUGCUCUUCAAAGAAGACCUCUGAUACCAUAAUAGAAAUAAAUCCUCUAUGUUGAUUAUGCGGAAAAACUCCGUGAAUGAUGAAAAGAACUUGUGAUGAGAAUGAUGCAGAGAUAAAGGGAAGAUAAACCCUAAAAGGAUUGAAAGGUUCUGACAAGAGAAAAAGGAAAAAAAUGUGAAUCGUAUUAUCAAAUUGAAUCAAGAGAGAGAAUACUGAAUUACAAAAAGUAAAAACCCACUAAGAUGGCGACAGAAAUAAAAGAAGGCCCAAAGAGCCCAAAAUAAUAAAAAAAUAUGCUAACUAAUAGUAGGUCCGUAAACUAUUAAUAUAUUAAUACUUCUGAAGAGUUUGGUAGCGCACGUUGUCGGGACCCAAACAUAAAAUAUUAGAUUUUUAACUACCUUCUUCUCUUCCUUGAUCACACAACAGCAACCACUUACUAUUCUGGGAUCCAACACAACAAAAAAUGUCUGUUCCUGAAGCUGGUGUUCAUGUGGGUUUCCUCUCAAGUGCUGGCAUGGGUCACCUCAACCCAUGUCUGAGACUAGCAGCAGUGUUCCUCCGCCAUGGUUGCAAAGUCACUCUCUUCACUCCCAAACCCACUCUCUCUCUCGCUGAGUCAAACCUCAUCUCUGCUUUUUCUUCUUCUUUCCCUCAAGUAACUCACAUUCACUUCAACCUCACCCCUUUGGAUCCAANNNNNNNNNNNNNNNNNNNNNNNNNNNNNNNNNNNNNNNNNNNNNNNNNNNNNNNNNNNNNNNNNNNNNNNNNNNNNNNNNNNNNNNNNNNNNNNNNNNNCAUUCGUCGUUCGGUUCACCUUCUAUCUCCAACCCUAUCUUCUCUUUCCACUUCUCUCUCAGCUUUCAUCGUCGAUGUUUUCUUAAUUUCCCCUAUCGUCUCAAUUGCUCACAAACUCUUUUGCCCCGUUUUCAUUUACUUCACCUCCUCAGCUAGAAUGUUGUCUUUCAUUGCAUACGUUUCUGUUCUUGCUGAUUCCGAUCCGGCUGCACAACCGCACCCUUCUACGUUCGUUGGUGAUGCUGUUCAAAUCCCGGGUUUCACAUCGCCAAUACCAAGAUCAUCGGUCCCUCCCGCUUUUCUUCUUCAAGGUGGCAACUCCUUUCAGAGAAUGAUCAUGGAAGACAGUUGCAAACUCACGAAGCUCGAUGGGGUUUUCAUCAACUCGUUUGAGGAACUGGAAGGAGAGGCACUAGCAGCGUUGAAUGAAGGAAAAGUGGUUAGAGGGUUGCCCCCGGUGUAUGGAAUUGGCCCCUUAAUGGCGUGUGAGUUUGAGAGUGUAGAUCAAGGUCAAAGGGGUUGCAUGAGUUGGAUACUGGAGUGGCUUGAUGAACAAGCUGAAGGGUCUGUGGUGUAUGUUAGCUUGGGGAGCAGGACUGAGACAAGGAAGGAGCAGAUAAAGGACAUGGCUUUGGGGUUAACAGAAUGCGGGUAUAGUUUUUUGUGGGUGGUGAAGUUGAAGAAGGUUGACAUAGAAGAGGAGGAGGGUUUGGAGGAGGUGUUGGGGAGUGAGUUGAUGAGUAAGGUNNNNNNN
RNAcentral lists this long non-coding RNA (11613 nucleotides) under Phaseolus vulgaris (common bean). RNAcentral describes it as "long non-coding RNA (PVUL_LNC003670)". Lineage: Eukaryota; Viridiplantae; Streptophyta; Magnoliopsida; Fabales; Fabaceae. The record is from RNAcentral.